AGGAUUGGAUAUUUUUUUUUUUUUUUUAGUAAUUUAAUGUGUGUCAAAAUUGAGGUUUGAGUUUUUAAGAAGGUAUUAAACACUCCAGGCCAGAGUCAUGCUGAAGUUUAGCAAUAUUUUCUUAUCUUGUGUUGGUAUGAAUUCAGUGUAUUUGAAGCUGUCCUUUCAUUGAUUUUGGAGGAUUAUUAAAUGGGUUGGAGAUCCAAUACUGACACUUAAUACAGGGUUUUACAGAAGAAUUAUUAUUUUU
RNAcentral lists this long non-coding RNA (250 nucleotides) under Mytilus galloprovincialis (Mediterranean mussel). Lineage: Eukaryota; Metazoa; Mollusca; Bivalvia; Mytilida; Mytilidae. The record is from RNAcentral.